AUGAAGCUGGAAUUGCUAGUAAUGGCAGGUCAGCAUACUGCCGUGAAUAACGUUCCCGGGGCCCUUGUACACACCGCCCGUCACACCAUGAGAGUUGGAAAUACCCGAAGCCUGUGAGCUAACUGUAAAGAGGCAGCAGUCGAAGGUAGAGCCAAUGAUUGGGGUGAAGUCGUAACAAGGUAUC
This 184-nucleotide ribosomal RNA is filed under the name uncultured bacterium. RNAcentral's name for it is "partial 16S ribosomal RNA". It matches the Rfam family "Bacterial small subunit ribosomal RNA", at positions 1320 to 1500 of the family's 1533-position model. The record is from RNAcentral.